RNAcentral lists this non-coding RNA (29 nucleotides) under Rattus norvegicus (Norway rat). Lineage: Eukaryota; Metazoa; Chordata; Mammalia; Rodentia; Muridae. The record is from RNAcentral.
UAGAAAAUUGUGUGUCUAUAUAGUUUCCU